UGAGGAAUAUUGGGCAAUGGACGCAAGUCUGACCCAGCCAUGCCGCGUGCAGGAUGACGGCCCUAUGGGUUGUAAACUGCUUUUAUAUGGAAAGAAACCCCCGAACGUGUUCGGGGCUGACGGUACCAUAUGAAUAAGCAUCGGCUAACUCCGUGCCAGCAGCCGCGGUAAUACGGAGGAUGCAAGCGUUAUCCGGAUUUAUUGGGUUUAAAGGGUCCGUAGGCGGGUUUUUAAGUCAGUGGUGAAAGCCUACAGCUUAACUGUAGAAAUGCCAUUGAUACUGGAAGCCUUGAGUAUUGUUGAAGUAGGCGGAAUACGUCAUGUAGCGGUGAAAUGCAUAGAUAUGACGUAGAACACCGAUUGCGAAGGCAGCUUACUAAGCAAUAACUGACGCUGAGGG
Molecule: ribosomal RNA, 400 nt
Filed under: uncultured bacterium
Lineage: Bacteria
Description: bacterial SSU rRNA
Rfam family: Bacterial small subunit ribosomal RNA
Source: RNAcentral